Onychostruthus taczanowskii (white-rumped snowfinch) is the source of this 696-nucleotide long non-coding RNA. RefSeq lists it as uncharacterized. The record is from RefSeq and is a predicted model, not a curated record. The transcript is spliced from 3 exons. Lineage: Eukaryota; Metazoa; Chordata; Aves; Passeriformes; Passeridae.
GAUACCCGGACUCCCGGAGGCUCUGCAGAAGGAGGAUGAGGAGGAUGCCGCUCCGCGCACGGGGGGAGCCGCAGCCCCGGGAGGCUUCGGGCGCUGCCGGCGGAGGUGGAAUUGGAGGUUUCGGUAUUCCUGCAGGGACAGCUCCCAUCGGCCCCAGGAGCUGCUGGAACCUCCUUGUGCCAGCGGUGAGGACACCAGGGCAGGAGUGGCACUUGUCCCCUCCGCCAGGGAAGGCUCCCGAGGCAGGAUUUGUCCCUGGAUGGUUCCUCUGCGCUGGGAUCCCUAGCACUGAGCCUCGGCUGGGGUUUGGAUGCUCCCUUCUGUCUGCAGCUGGAAUGGCAGGGCCGUUCCUCCUGCUCCUCCCAAAUCCUGUGGAUUUACUGCUUUUGGCAUCGUCCUGCUGGGACUGGCUCGGCACAGGGAAUAUCCCAAGGGACGGAUAUGGAAAAGCAGCGCCUGCAGCCUGAGGCUACAAUUCCCUCUUUUUCUGGGCUACUCUGAGCAUCCUGGCUCUGCAGGAGGAAGGAUUCCAUGCACUCCUGGAGGACAAAUCCUGCUGCUCUGAUGCCUCCCCAGCCGUUCCUGGCUCAAGCCCUGCCCUGCUCGAUGCUCCUGGAGGGUUUUUGGUGCCACUCUCCAGCUUUGGGCACCCAAAAGGGACAAAGAGCCCCAAAUCCACUCCCCUCUGAACACAUA